Propithecus coquereli (Coquerel's sifaka) is the source of this 243-nucleotide long non-coding RNA. RefSeq lists it as uncharacterized. The record is from RefSeq and is a predicted model, not a curated record. Lineage: Eukaryota; Metazoa; Chordata; Mammalia; Primates; Indriidae. The transcript has 3 exons.
UUUUCUGUCUUCAAGUUCCUCUCUUCCCUGCGUCAAAGUGAGCAGUAACCAACAUGUCAGGGUGGGAGUCUUAUUACAAAACUGAGGGCGAUGAUGAAGAAGAAGAACAAGAGAGCUUUGAAGCGGGUGGAGAAUAUAAAUAUUCAGGAAGAGAUAGUUUGAUUUUUUUGGUCGAUGCCUCCAGGGCCAUGUUUGAAUCUCUAGGUGAAGACGAAUUGACUCCUUUUGAUAUGAGCAUCCAGG